CCCCUUCCGUCUCUAACCUCAGAGACCAACCAAACCCAUCCAUGUGAAACACUAGUCGCCAUCAAACCCUCUCACCUCAAACCCGAUGGCAACAACGUCGCCGGCCACCAAACUUAUACCCCUGAACCACCCUAAUCCCCUCUCUCCAAAUCCACCCUCAUCUUACCUAGGAUUAACCUCGAGUUUCUCGAAUCUUCAUUUGAAGAUUCGAGCAAAACUCGAACCAAUCACAAUCGGUCCCAAAAUCACACCAUAGCUUUCCCUAGCCUCCCUCAUCACCAAACCAUUGUUGAUUUGGUUCGAAUCAAACCCAAACCACUCGAACCCCAAAUUCGAGCCGAAGAACCCUAGAAAAAUCGAGCAUGGAUUUUGUCCGAAUUGAAGAGUUUUUGGUUGUUCAAUGGACUUUAGUCGAUGUGUUCUCAGUUGAGAACCCUCGAUCAAAGUCCGUUUGGCCUCAAAAGUUCGAAAUCCGUUUGGUCUGAGUUCGUCUUUUCCCUGUUCACUUUUGAGGUAUUUAUUUUCCCUUUUCUUCUAUUUCUCUUAUGUUCCUAUGUCUGUUAUUUGUUUAGAUUCAUUGUAUCAAUUUGUUUUCAAUUUUUUGCCAAGUGUUCUUCUUCUUCUGCCAAAUACCUUUUAUUUGGUCAAUUUUAUUCUGUUUGUGAUUGUGGUCGUUGUAAACUACAUAUUCAACUUGAUUAAUAUCAUUAGUUUCAUAAUCCCCUAUUUUGUAUGAAUGCUAUGAAUCACACUGUUUUUGGGUCGAUUAUUUGUUAUCGAUUAUAUGUGUUGUAAUCGAUUAAAUAAAUGUCGUCGAUUAGUUGUAUAGGUUUGAUUGUUAGAUUAAUGCUGACAAUAGUAUUAUUGAUACUAUCUAAUUUUGUCCGAAUUAUUGUUUGAAUUAAAGUCUGAAUGGUUUACAGCUGAAUUAGGUUUGAAUUGGUUAUAGCCGAACUUAGGAAAUGGAAUCUAGCUACAAUUUUAAUAGAAAUUUUCAGAGUUUAGUCUAAGUGGGCUGUUAGUUUAGCAUGUGUUGGACCAUUAGAUGAGUUUAAUUUUAAAAAGCUGAAAUGCACAUGAGAAUGGUAGUGGAACCUGGUGUACAGUAGGACUUUCAUUACAUUCUGAUUUACAGAAAUUUUAAAAUAAGAGUUCCAUGCCUAGAAAAAUUUAAGUGGGAAAAUAGAGGGAAUAAUCAGUUUUUAAAAGGUUUUCAACAGACUGUAAGGUGAGUUCAGUUUGGCUAUAUAAGAGGUAUUCCAGAAUAGUUUUAAAGAGUCUUUUGAAAAAUCAGAAAGGUUAGAAGAAUUUUCAGAGAAAUAGAUAGAGAGUGAGGUUGGAAGUUGAACUAAAUUUCCAGAAUUAAAGAGUGAUAUAGGUUGAGCUGUGCUUAAAGGUUUCAGUGGGUUUUCUUUGAGUAUUUACAAUCAGAAAUAUUGUCCUUGCAUUUGCCUUGCUUUUCACUUAACUGUGAGCGCAUUUGGAGUGUUACUGGGUGUUUAGUGUGAUAUAUCUUGGGUUUUCUGCUGGUAUUUAUCUUCUGAGCUAUUGUUAUCCAUUUGGUGUUGCUAGGCUUUUCUAUUGGGGAUUCAAACACUGUUGCAUUGGUUUCUUGGAUUCUUUCUAUUUGGUUUUCAAUCUGCUCCUCCUACUGUUAUUGGUCUACUACUGGUGUUGCUGAAUCUGUUGUUGUGUUCAUUGUGCUACUGGUGCCAUCACUGAUCUUCCUUCUCUUUCUUUUCUUUUCCAAAUACCAGGUACACAUUGCUACACUGGUACACUUGAAGGCUGAACUUGAAGCAUGAAAUAUAAAUGAAGAACUGAAGUUUUACGUUUAUCUUAGUUGUAUUCUGUAUGUAUAUAAUGGAAUCCUUGAAAGUAGUUUAGUGAACAAAUCUCUUAUGUAUGCUGCCAUCACUGAUCUUCCUUCUCUUUCUUUGCUUUUCCAAAUACCAGGUACACAUUGCUACACUGGUACACUUGAAGGCUGAACUUGAAGCAUGAAAUAUAAAUGAAGAACUGAAGUUUUACGUUUAUCUUAGUUGUAUUCUGUAUGUAUAUAAUGGAAUCCUUGAAAGUAGUUUAGUGAACAAAUCUCUUAUGUAUGUUAGCUAGAAAAGAACUCAUGAUGCAGUAGCCAUAUCCUUCCCCCUCCAGCCUAUUUCUCUUAUAACCCAUUUCAAAUGCAUAUCAAGUUUUAAGUCAAGUAAUCAGUAGUUAAAACUCUUUAGUUAACAAUUU
Molecule: long non-coding RNA, 2241 nt
Filed under: Nicotiana benthamiana
Lineage: Eukaryota; Viridiplantae; Streptophyta; Magnoliopsida; Solanales; Solanaceae
Description: long non-coding RNA (NBEN_LNC025753)
Source: RNAcentral